Molecule: ribosomal RNA, 468 nt
Filed under: uncultured bacterium
Lineage: Bacteria
Description: partial 16S ribosomal RNA
Rfam family: Bacterial small subunit ribosomal RNA
Source: RNAcentral
GACGAACGCUGGCGGCGUGCUUAACACAUGCAAGUCGAACGGAAAGGCCCUGCUUUUGUGGGGUGCUCGAGUGGCGAACGGGUGAGUAACACGUGAGUAACCUGCCCUUGACUUUGGGAUAACUUCAGGAAACUGGGGCUAAUACCGGAUAGGAGCUCCUGCUGCAUGGUGGGGGUUGGAAAGUUUCGGCGGUUGGGGAUGGACUCGCGGCUUAUCAGCUUGUUGGUGGGGUAGUGGCUUACCAAGGCUUUGACGGGUAGCCGGCCUGAGAGGGUGACCGGCCACAUUGGGACUGAGGUACGGCACAGACUCCUACGGGAGGCAGCAGUGGGGAAUAUUGCACAAUGGGCGGAAGCCUGAUGCAGCAACGCCGCGUGCGGGAUGACGGCCUUCGGGUUGUAAACCGCUUUCGCCUGUGACGAAGCGUGAGUGACGGUAAUGGGUAAAGAAGCACCGGCUAACUACGUG